UAGCUAGUUGGUGAGGUAAAGGCUUACCAAGGCGACGAUCUGUAGCGGGUCUGAGAGGAUGAUCCGCCACACUGGAACUGAGACACGGUCCAGACUCCUACGGGAGGCAGCAGUGGGGAAUUUUGGACAAUGGGGGCAACCCUGAUCCAGCCAUGCCGCGUGAGUGAAGAAGGCCUUCGGGUUGUAAAGCUCUUUCGGCCGGGAAGAAAUCGCAUGGGCCAAUACCCUGUGUGGAUGACGGUACCGGAAUAAGAAGCACCGGCUAACUACGUGCCAGCAGCCGCGGUAAUACGUAGGGUGCGAGCGUUAAUCGGAAUUACUGGGCGUAAAGCGUGCGCAGGCGGUUUUGUAAGACAGGCGUGAAAUCCCCGGGCUUAACCUGGGAACUGCGUUUGUGACUGCAAGGCUAGAGUACGGCAGAGGGGGGUGGAAUUCCACGUGUAGCAGUGAAAUGCGUAGAGAUGUGGAGGAACACCAAUGGCGAAGGCAGCCCCCUGGGUCGAUACUGACGCUCAUGCACGAAAGCGUGGGUAGCAAACAGGAUUAGAUACCCUGGUAGUCCACGCCCUAAACUAUGUCAACUAGGUGUUGGGUGGGUAAAACCAUUUAGUACCGUAGCUAACGCGUGAAGUUGACCGCCUGGGGAGUACGGCCGCAAGGUUAAAACUCAAAGGAAUUGACGGGGACCCGCACAACCGGUGGAUGAUGUGGAUUAAUUCGAUGCAGCGCGAAAAACCUUACCUACCCUUGACAUGCCAGGAACUUGCCAGAGAUGGCUUGGUGCCCGAAAGGGAGCCUGGACACAGGUGCUGCAUGGCUGUCGUCCGCUCGUGUCGUGAGAUGUUGGGUUAAGUCCCGCAACGAGCGCAACCCUUGUCGUUAAUUGCCAUCAUUUAGUUGGGCACUUUAACGAGACUGCCGGUGACAAACCGGAGGAAGGUGGGGUGACGUCAAGUCCUCAUGGCCCUUAUGGGUAGGGCUUCACACGUCAUACAAUGGUCGGUACAAAGGGUUGCCAAGCCGCGAGGCGGAGCCAAUCCCAGAAAGCCGAUCGUAGUCCGGAUUGCAGGCUGCAACUCGCCUGCAUGAAGUCGGAAUCGCUAGUAAUCGUGGAUCAGCAUGUCACGGUGAAUACGUUCCCGGGUCUUGUACACACCGCCCGUCACACCAUGGGAGCGGGUUCCGCCAGAAGUAGGUAGCCUAACCGCAAGGGGGGCGCUUACCACGGCGGGGUUCGUGACUGGGGUGAAGUCGUAACAAGGUAGCCGUAGGGGAACCUGGGGCUG
RNAcentral lists this ribosomal RNA (1286 nucleotides) under metagenome. RNAcentral describes it as "bacterial SSU rRNA". It matches the Rfam family "Bacterial small subunit ribosomal RNA", at positions 242 to 1520 of the family's 1533-position model. The record is from RNAcentral.